This 236-nucleotide ribosomal RNA is filed under the name uncultured bacterium. RNAcentral describes it as "partial 16S ribosomal RNA". It matches the Rfam family "Bacterial small subunit ribosomal RNA", at positions 524 to 762 of the family's 1533-position model. The record is from RNAcentral.
UACGGAGUGGCGAGCGUUGCUCGGAUUUACUGGGUGUAAAGGGCACGUAGGCGGUCCUAUAAGCCCUGCCUAAAAUGCUCUGGCUCAACCAGAGCCUGUGGUGGGGACUGCAGGACUUGAGGAUUGAGAGGCGAGCGGAAUUCCCGGUGUAAGGGUGAAAUCUGUAGAGAUCGGGAGGAACACCAGUGGCGCAAGCGGCUCGCUGGCCAAUUUCUGACGCUGAGGUGCGAAAGCUA